GUCUGUGGCCAUGCCACCCUGAACAAGCCCGAUCCUGUGAGAUCUCGGAAGCUAAGCAGGGUCGGGCCCGGUGAGUAGUUGGAUGGGAGGCCACCUAGGAAGACCAGGUGCUGUAAGCU
This 119-nucleotide ribosomal RNA is filed under the name Pteropus vampyrus (large flying fox). Lineage: Eukaryota; Metazoa; Chordata; Mammalia; Chiroptera; Pteropodidae. The record is from RNAcentral.